CCCGCUGAACUUAAGCAUAUCAAUAAGCGGAGGAAAAGAAACCAACAGGGAUUACCUCAGUAACGGCGAGUGAAGCGGUAACAGCUCAAAUUUGAAAUCUGGGUCUUUCAGGCUCCGAGUUGUAAUUUGUAGAAGAUGCUUUGGGUGCGGCCCCGGUCUAAGUUCCUUGGAACAGGACGUCAUAGAGGGUGAGAAUCCCGUAUGUGAUCGGUGGCUUGCGCCCGUGUAAAGCUCUUUCGACGAGUCGGGUUGUUUGGGAAUGCAGCUCUAAAUGGGUGGUAAAUUUCAUCUAAAGCUAAAUAUUGGCCAGAGACCGAUAGCGCACAAGUAGAGUGAUCGAAAGAUGAAAAGCACUUUGGAAAGAGAGUUAAACAGUACGUGAAAUUGUUGAAAGGGAAGCGCUUGCAACCAGACUUGCGCGGGGUUGAUCAUCCGGGGUUCUCCCCGGUGCACUCGGCCUCGCUCAGGCCAGCAUCGGUUUCGGUGGUUGGAUAAAGGCCUUGGGAAUGUGACUCCUCUCGGGGAGUGUUAUAGCCCUCGGUGCAAUGCAGCCUACCGGGACCGAGGACCGCGCUUCGGCUAGGAUGCUGGCGUAAUGGUUGUAAGCGGCCCGUCUUGAAACACGG
This 626-nucleotide ribosomal RNA is filed under the name uncultured fungus. RNAcentral describes it as "eukaryotic LSU rRNA". It matches the Rfam family "Eukaryotic large subunit ribosomal RNA", at positions 24 to 664 of the family's 3401-position model. The record is from RNAcentral. Lineage: Eukaryota; Fungi.